GGGGUGCUUGGAAAGUUGGCUGUUAGGGGCUGUUAAACCCUCACUACCUUUAAGGGUUUCUCUGUGCCCUGCCUGCCCUUCUGGACAUGAGUCGGCUACCAGGAGCAAAUAGCAGCAACACAUGUAUGCACAGGGGUUUAGAAAUAUGAGUUGGCUGAUCAACUUGAGCAUGUAUGUUACUGACAAGGGGAUAUUGGGUUAUUUUCUGGGGGACUAGCAUGUCACUAAAGCAGGCCUUUUCAUAUAUUAAAAAA
This is a long non-coding RNA of Myotis brandtii (Brandt's bat), 254 nucleotides long. RefSeq lists it as uncharacterized. Lineage: Eukaryota; Metazoa; Chordata; Mammalia; Chiroptera; Vespertilionidae. The transcript is spliced from 2 exons. The record is from RefSeq and is a predicted model, not a curated record.